GUGCUCACUUCAGCAGCACAUUUACUAAACAAUACAGAGAAGAUUAGCAUGGCCCCUGCGCAAGGAGGACACACAAAUUCGUGAAGCGUUCCAUAAAACA
RNAcentral lists this small nuclear RNA (100 nucleotides) under Myotis myotis. RNAcentral also lists the same sequence under 1 other name. Lineage: Eukaryota; Metazoa; Chordata; Mammalia; Chiroptera; Vespertilionidae. The record is from RNAcentral.